AGAGUUGAUCCUGGCUCAGGAUGAACGCUAGCGGCAGGCUAACACAUGCAAGUCGAGGGGUAACAGGAAAGCUUGCUUUCGCUGACGACCGGCGCACGGGUGCGUAACGCGUAUGCAACCUACCUCAUACUGGAGAAUAGCCCCUGGAAACGGGGAUUAAUACUCCAUAGUAUCAUUCUUUCGCAUGUUUGAAUGAUUAAAGAAUUUCGGUAUGAGAUGGGCAUGCGUCCCAUUAGCUAGUUGGUGAGGUAACGGCUCACCAAGGCUACGAUGGGUAGGGGGCCUGAGAGGGUGGUCCCCCACACUGGUACUGAGACACGGACCAGACUCCUACGGGAGGCAGCAGUGAGGAAUAUUGGUCAAUGGAGGCAACUCUGAACCAGCCAUGCCGCGUGAAGGAUGACGGCCCUAUGGGUUGUAAACUUCUUUUGAAUAGGAAGAAACUUAUCUACGUGUAGAUAACUGACGGUACUAUUAGAAUAAGGAUCGGCUAACUCCGUGCCAGCAGCCGCGGUAAUACGGAGGAUCCAAGCGUUAUCCGGAUUCAUUGGGUUUAAAGGGUCCGUAGGCGGAUCUUUAAGUCAGUGGUGAAAGCCGACAGCUUAACUGUCGAACUGCCAUUGAUACUGGAGAUCUUGAGUUCAAAUGAAGUAGGCGGAAUGAGUCAUGUAGCGGUGAAAUGCAUAGAUAUGACUCAGAACACCGAUUGCGAAGGCAGCUUACUAACAUGUAACUGACGCUGAGGGACGAAAGCGUGGGGAGCGAACAGGAUUAGAUACCCUGGUAGUCCACGCCGUAAACGAUCAUCACUCGCUGUUGGCGAUAUACUGUCAGCGGCCAAGCGAAAGUAUUAAGUGAUGCACCUGGGGAGUACGCCGGCAACGGUGAAACUCAAAGGAAUUGACGG
This 907-nucleotide ribosomal RNA is filed under the name uncultured marine bacterium. Its description in RNAcentral is "bacterial SSU rRNA". It matches the Rfam family "Bacterial small subunit ribosomal RNA", at positions 8 to 916 of the family's 1533-position model. The record is from RNAcentral.